CAAACAUUAAAAAAUUAAAAAAAAAAAUUCUAUAUAUAUUAAAAAUUAUUUUUUAAAAAUGUGUCAAUGCGAAAGUUGUGCCUGUAUGGACGAUAAGUGCGGUACUACACUUAAGGAAAAACAAAUUGUUGUUAUCGUCUUGUCCUGGGUAUAUACUCUCUUUACUCUCAUAUAUGCAGCGGUUCAAAUAGAUGCUGCGUCUAAUAGACUACAAACAAGAAGCGAAAGAGAUGCAACUAUUGCAUACUUAAUAAUAUUGAUAUUUACGUGCUUACAAAUUGUAGGCGCUAUAUUUCUUACAGUCGGUUUUUGCUGUUUCUUCAAAUCUUUCUUAUCAUAUGGGCAUGUCGAUAUUAUAGCGUAAAAAUGUAGGGUUCGAUAGUAAACUAUUUGAAGCAAAUAAUAUGUCAAAUUCAAUGCUUGUGUGUUUUAAAUGUAAAAUUCAAUGUUCCAAAUAAGCUGUUGCAAAAUUAUUUGUUGAAAAUAAAAGUUUUGAAAACAAA
This 503-nucleotide unclassified non-coding RNA is filed under the name Drosophila virilis. Its description in RNAcentral is "GJ26667". Lineage: Eukaryota; Metazoa; Arthropoda; Insecta; Diptera; Drosophilidae. The record is from RNAcentral.